This 67-nucleotide transfer RNA is filed under the name Marmota monax (woodchuck). RNAcentral's name for it is "tRNA.Ala". It matches the Rfam family "tRNA". Rfam says of the family: Transfer RNA (tRNA) molecules are approximately 80 nucleotides in length. Their secondary structure includes four short double-helical elements and three loops (D, anti-codon, and T loops). Further hydrogen bonds mediate the characteristic L-shaped molecular structure. tRNAs have two regions of fundamental functional importance: the anti-codon, which is responsible for specific mRNA codon recognition, and the 3' end, to which the tRNAs corresponding amino acid is attached (by aminoacyl-tRNA synthetases). tRNAs cope with the degeneracy of the genetic code in two manners: having more than one tRNA (with a specific anti-codon) for a particular amino acid; and 'wobble' base-pairing, i.e. permitting non-standard base-pairing at the 3rd anti-codon position. The record is from RNAcentral. Lineage: Eukaryota; Metazoa; Chordata; Mammalia; Rodentia; Sciuridae.
GGUUGUGGCUCAAUGGCAGAGCUCUCGCUUAGCAUGUGUGAGGCACUGGGUUCGAUCCUCAGCACCA